CCUGCCCCAGAGGCAUUGCAAGUGUGGCCUCUGUGUCACAUGUGCAUCAGCGGGUGGCAGAGAGGAGAGAGGCUGUGUCUAUGCUCACUGUUCUGUGAACGUCUGAACUAUUAGUAGUCUAACAUU
Acomys russatus (golden spiny mouse) is the source of this 126-nucleotide small nucleolar RNA. RefSeq annotates it as small nucleolar RNA SNORA17. The transcript has a single exon. Lineage: Eukaryota; Metazoa; Chordata; Mammalia; Rodentia; Muridae. The record is from RefSeq and is a predicted model, not a curated record.